AUUGAACGCUGGCGGCAGGCCUAACACAUGCAAGUCGAGCGGAUGAAGGGAGCUUGCUCCUGGAUUCAGCGGCGGACGGGUGAGUAAUGCCUAGGAAUCUGCCUAGUAGUGGGGGAUAACGUCCGGAAACGGGCGCUAAUACCGCAUACGUCCUGAGGGAGAAAGUGGGGGAUCUUCGGACCUCACGCUAUCAGAUGAGCCUAGGUCGGAUUAGCUAGUUGGUGGGGUAAAGGCCUACCAAGGCGACGAUCCGUAACUGGUCUGAGAGGAUGAUCAGUCACACUGGAACUGAGACACGGUCCAGACUCCUACGGGAGGCAGCAGUGGGGAAUAUUGGACAAUGGGCGAAAGCCUGAUCCAGCCAUGCCGCGUGUGUGAAGAAGGUCUUCGGAUUGUAAAGCACUUUAAGUUGGGAGGAAGGGCAGUAAGUUAAUACCUUGCUGUUUUGACGUUACCAACAGAAUAAGCACUGGCUAACUUCGUG
This 484-nucleotide ribosomal RNA is filed under the name uncultured bacterium. RNAcentral describes it as "partial 16S ribosomal RNA". It matches the Rfam family "Bacterial small subunit ribosomal RNA", at positions 30 to 507 of the family's 1533-position model. The record is from RNAcentral.